GCCAGGGAAUCUCGCAUCUAAGGGGAGAGCUCCCCCAGCCCCCACCUCGAGAAAGCGGCCCCGUGUGAACUCUGGGGAGGGACACAGGGCAGGCUUCCUGGAGGAGGUGGCAGGUAGAGAGGAGACUGAAGAGGACAGAGCUUUCCAAAAAGGGCACACACCUGAUGACAACAUACAGAGAAGCUGUAUGCUUCUGUGACACACCAAGAGGCUGAGAGAAACCAGCAGGCAGACCGGAGAGGACUCCCAGGUAGGCAGCCAGUGAGUCAGCGGUGACAUGGCCAGAGACAAGAUCCAGGAGUCCGGGAUCGCAAGCACCACCUCGCCCCAGCCCCAGAGACCUCUCAAGCACCCCUCUGAGUGAGCAAGAUGAAGCCUGGUUCUGACUCCCAGACAUGGACUC
Non-coding RNA from Microcebus murinus (gray mouse lemur), 403 nucleotides. The record is from RefSeq and is a predicted model, not a curated record. NCBI's taxonomy places the organism in Eukaryota, Metazoa, Chordata, Mammalia, Primates, Cheirogaleidae.